CUGCGUCGAGCGAACAGAUGAGAAGCUUGCUUCUCUGAUGUUAGCGGCGGACGGGUGAGUAACACGUGGGUAACCUACCUAUAAGACUGGGAUAACUCCGGGAAACCGGGGCUAAUACCGGAUAAUAUUUUGAACCGCAUGGUUCAAUAGUGAAAGACGGUUUCGGCUGUCACUUAUAGAUGGACCCGCGCCGUAUUAGCUAGUUGGUAAGGUAACGGCUUACCAAGGCGACGAUACGUAGCCGACCUGAGAGGGUGAUCGGCCACACUGGAACUGAGACACGGUCCAGACUCCUACGGGAGGCAGCAGUAGGGAAUCUUCCGCAAUGGGCGAAAGCCUGACGGAGCAACGCCGCGUGAGUGAUGAAGGUCUUCGGAUCGUAAAACUCUGUUGUUAGGGAAGAACAAAUUUGUUAGUAACUGAACAAGUCUUGACGGUACCUAACCAGAAAGCCACGGCUAACUACGUGCCAGCAGCCGCGGUAAUACGUAGGUGGCAAGCGUUAUCCGGAAUUAUUGGGCGUAAAGCGCGCGUAGGCGGUUUCUUAAGUCUGAUGUGAAAGCCCACGGCUCAACCGUGGAGGGUCAUUGGAAACUGGGAAACUUGAGUGCAGAAGAGGAGAGUGGAAUUCCAUGUGUAGCGGUGAAAUGCGCAGAGAUAUGGAGGAACACCAGUGGCGAAGGCGGCUCUCUGGUCUGUAACUGACGCUGAUGUGCGAAAGCGUGGGGAUCAAACAGGAUUAGAUACCCUGGUAGUCCACGCCGUAAACGAUGAGUGCUAAGUGUUAGGGGGUUUCCGCCCCUUAGUGCUGCAGCUAACGCAUUAAGCACUCCGCCUGGGGAGUACGACCGCAAGGUUGAAACUCAAAGGAAUUGACGGGGACCCGCACAAGCGGUGGAGCAUGUGGUUUAAUUCGAAGCAACGCGAAGAACCUUACCAAAUCUUGACAUCCUUUGACCGCUCUAGAGAUAGAGUCUUCCCCUUCGGGGGACAAAGUGACAGGUGGUGCAUGGUUGUCGUCAGCUCGUGUCGUGAGAUGUUGGGUUAAGUCCCGCAACGAGCGCAACCCUUAAGCUUAGUUGCCAUCAUUAAGUUGGGCACUCUAGGUUGACUGCCGGUGACAAACCGGAGGAAGGUGGGGAUGACGUCAAAUCAUCAUGCCCCUUAUGAUUUGGGCUACACACGUGCUACAAUGGAUAAUACAAAGGGCAGCGAAUCCGCGAGGCCAAGCAAAUCCCAUAAAAUUAUUCUCAGUUCGGAUUGUAGUCUGCAACUCGACUACAUGAAGCUGGAAUCGCUAGUAAUCGUAGAUCAGCAUGCUACGGUGAAUACGUUCCCGGGUCUUGUACACACCGCCCGUCACACCACGAGAGUUUGUAACACCCGAAGCCGGGGAGUAC
This 1400-nucleotide ribosomal RNA is filed under the name Mammaliicoccus sciuri. RNAcentral describes it as "bacterial SSU rRNA". It matches the Rfam family "Bacterial small subunit ribosomal RNA". Lineage: Bacteria; Bacillati; Bacillota; Bacilli; Caryophanales; Staphylococcaceae. The record is from RNAcentral.